CUUCUAAUAUGCAAUUCCCGAAUGGGAACAGACUUGAAACCCUUCUUUUCCUAGCAUUUCAGCCCAGGCGGCUUCCCUCUAUAUUAAUAAGUUCUUUCGAGCAAUCACUGAUGUAGGUAGGGCUGGUGCGAGAAGAGAUUGUCUUAUGCCAGAAAAGAGGUGCUCCAUGUCGAAGGCAAAAAGAGGUGCUUAUCAAACAGGUGGUCC
This 207-nucleotide long non-coding RNA is filed under the name Oryza brachyantha (malo sina). Its description in RNAcentral is "long non-coding RNA (OBRA_LNC003668)". The record is from RNAcentral. Lineage: Eukaryota; Viridiplantae; Streptophyta; Magnoliopsida; Poales; Poaceae.